GACGAACGCUGGCGGCGCGCUUAACACAUGCAAGUCGAGCGAAGCGGCGGACGGGUGAGUAACACGUGAGUAACCUGCCUUAGACAUUGGGAUAGCCUCGGGAAACCGGGAUUAAUACCAAAUGGUCUAAGAUGGACUCGCGUCCCAUUAGCUCGUUGGUGAGGUAACGGCCCACCAAGGCGACGAUGGGUAGCCGGCCUGAGAGGGGGAACGGCAACAUUGGAGAGGAGAAACGGUCCAAACUCUACGGGAGGCAGCAGGGGGGAAGAUUGCAAAAUGGAGGGAACUCGGAUGCAGCGACGACGCGUGAACGAAGAAGGCUUUGUAGUCGUAAAGUUCUUUGAUAUGGGAAGCGGUACCAUAAGAAAAAGCCCCGGCUAACUACGUGCCAGCCGCCGCGGUAAUUC
RNAcentral lists this ribosomal RNA (407 nucleotides) under uncultured bacterium. Its description in RNAcentral is "partial 16S ribosomal RNA". It matches the Rfam family "Bacterial small subunit ribosomal RNA", at positions 28 to 526 of the family's 1533-position model. The record is from RNAcentral.